This 254-nucleotide ribosomal RNA is filed under the name uncultured bacterium. RNAcentral's name for it is "partial 16S ribosomal RNA". It matches the Rfam family "Bacterial small subunit ribosomal RNA", at positions 524 to 776 of the family's 1533-position model. The record is from RNAcentral.
UACGUAGGGGGCGAGCGUUGUCCGGGUUUAUUGGGCGUAAAGAGCUCGUAGGCGGUUUGGUAAGUUGGAUGUGAAAUCUCCAGGCUCAACUUGGAGGGGUCAUUCGAUACUGCCAUGACUAGAGUUCGGUAGGGGAGUGUGGAAUUCCUGGUGGAGCGGUGAAAUGCGCAGAUAUCAGGAGGAACACCCGUAGCGAAGGCGGCACUCUGGGCCGGAACUGACGCUGAGGAGCGAAAGCGUGGGGAGCGAACAGG